Molecule: ribosomal RNA, 2902 nt
Filed under: Escherichia coli KTE59
Lineage: Bacteria; Pseudomonadati; Pseudomonadota; Gammaproteobacteria; Enterobacterales; Enterobacteriaceae
Description: bacterial LSU rRNA
Rfam family: Bacterial large subunit ribosomal RNA
Source: RNAcentral
UUAAGCGACUAAGCGUACACGGUGGAUGCCCUGGCAGUCAGAGGCGAUGAAGGACGUGCUAAUCUGCGAUAAGCGUCGGUGAGGUGAUAUGAACCGUUAUAACCGGCGAUUUCCGAAUGGGGAAACCCAGUGUGUUUCGACACACUAUCAUUAACUGAAUCCAUAGGUUAAUGAGGCGAACCGGGGGAACUGAAACAUCUAAGUACCCCGAGGAAAAGAAAUCAACCGAGAUUCCCCCAGUAGCGGCGAGCGAACGGGGAGGAGCCCAGAGCCUGAAUCAGUGUGUGUGUUAGUGGAAGCGUCUGGAAAGGCGCGCGAUACAGGGUGACAGCCCCGUACACAAAAAUGCACAUACUGUGAGCUCGAUGAGUAGGGCGGGACACGUGGUAUCCUGUCUGAAUAUGGGGGGACCAUCCUCCAAGGCUAAAUACUCCUGACUGACCGAUAGUGAACCAGUACCGUGAGGGAAAGGCGAAAAGAACCCCGGCGAGGGGAGUGAAAAAGAACCUGAAACCGUGUACGUACAAGCAGUGGGAGCCUCUUUAUGGGGUGACUGCGUACCUUUUGUAUAAUGGGUCAGCGACUUAUAUUCUGUAGCAAGGUUAACCGAAUAGGGGAGCCGAAGGGAAACCGAGUCUUAACUGGGCGUUAAGUUGCAGGGUAUAGACCCGAAACCCGGUGAUCUAGCCAUGGGCAGGUUGAAGGUUGGGUAACACUAACUGGAGGACCGAACCGACUAAUGUUGAAAAAUUAGCGGAUGACUUGUGGCUGGGGGUGAAAGGCCAAUCAAACCGGGAGAUAGCUGGUUCUCCCCGAAAGCUAUUUAGGUAGCGCCUCGUGAAUUCAUCUCCGGGGGUAGAGCACUGUUUCGGCAAGGGGGUCAUCCCGACUUACCAACCCGAUGCAAACUGCGAAUACCGGAGAAUGUUAUCACGGGAGACACACGGCGGGUGCUAACGUCCGUCGUGAAGAGGGAAACAACCCAGACCGCCAGCUAAGGUCCCAAAGUCAUGGUUAAGUGGGAAACGAUGUGGGAAGGCCCAGACAGCCAGGAUGUUGGCUUAGAAGCAGCCAUCAUUUAAAGAAAGCGUAAUAGCUCACUGGUCGAGUCGGCCUGCGCGGAAGAUGUAACGGGGCUAAACCAUGCACCGAAGCUGCGGCAGCGACACUAUGUGUUGUUGGGUAGGGGAGCGUUCUGUAAGCCUGUGAAGGUGGCCUGUGAGGGUUGCUGGAGGUAUCAGAAGUGCGAAUGCUGACAUAAGUAACGAUAAAGCGGGUGAAAAGCCCGCUCGCCGGAAGACCAAGGGUUCCUGUCCAACGUUAAUCGGGGCAGGGUGAGUCGACCCCUAAGGCGAGGCCGAAAGGCGUAGUCGAUGGGAAACAGGUUAAUAUUCCUGUACUUGGUGUUACUGCGAAGGGGGGACGGAGAAGGCUAUGUUGGCCGGGCGACGGUUGUCCCGGUUUAAGCGUGUAGGCUGGUUUUCCAGGCAAAUCCGGAAAACCAAGGCUGAGGCGUGAUGACGAGGCACUACGGUGCUGAAGCGACAAAUGCCCUGCUUCCAGGAAAAGCCUCUAAGCAUCAGGUAACAUCAAAUCGUACCCCAAACCGACACAGGUGGUCAGGUAGAGAAUACCAAGGCGCUUGAGAGAACUCGGGUGAAGGAACUAGGCAAAAUGGUGCCGUAACUUCGGGAGAAGGCACGCUGAUAUGUAGGUGAAGCGACUUGCUCGUGGAGCUGAAAUCAGUCGAAGAUACCAGCUGGCUGCAACUGUUUAUUAAAAACACAGCACUGUGCAAACACGAAAGUGGACGUAUACGGUGUGACGCCUGCCCGGUGCCGGAAGGUUAAUUGAUGGGGUUAGCGGUAACGCGAAGCUCUUGAUCGAAGCCCCGGUAAACGGCGGCCGUAACUAUAACGGUCCUAAGGUAGCGAAAUUCCUUGUCGGGUAAGUUCCGACCUGCACGAAUGGCGUAAUGAUGGCCAGGCUGUCUCCACCCGAGACUCAGUGAAAUUGAACUCGCUGUGAAGAUGCAGUGUACCCGCGGCAAGACGGAAAGACCCCGUGAACCUUUACUAUAGCUUGACACUGAACAUUGAGCCUUGAUGUGUAGGAUAGGUGGGAGGCUUUGAAGUGUGGACGCCAGUCUGCAUGGAGCCGACCUUGAAAUACCACCCUUUAAUGUUUGAUGUUCUAACGUUGGCCCGUAAUCCGGGUUGCGGACAGUGUCUGGUGGGUAGUUUGACUGGGGCGGUCUCCUCCUAAAGAGUAACGGAGGAGCACGAAGGUUGGCUAAUCCUGGUCGGACAUCAGGAGGUUAGUGCAAUGGCAUAAGCCAGCUUGACUGCGAGCGUGACGGCGCGAGCAGGUGCGAAAGCAGGUCAUAGUGAUCCGGUGGUUCUGAAUGGAAGGGCCAUCGCUCAACGGAUAAAAGGUACUCCGGGGAUAACAGGCUGAUACCGCCCAAGAGUUCAUAUCGACGGCGGUGUUUGGCACCUCGAUGUCGGCUCAUCACAUCCUGGGGCUGAAGUAGGUCCCAAGGGUAUGGCUGUUCGCCAUUUAAAGUGGUACGCGAGCUGGGUUUAGAACGUCGUGAGACAGUUCGGUCCCUAUCUGCCGUGGGCGCUGGAGAACUGAGGGGGGCUGCUCCUAGUACGAGAGGACCGGAGUGGACGCAUCACUGGUGUUCGGGUUGUCAUGCCAAUGGCACUGCCCGGUAGCUAAAUGCGGAAGAGAUAAGUGCUGAAAGCAUCUAAGCACGAAACUUGCCCCGAGAUGAGUUCUCCCUGACUCCUUGAGAGUCCUGAAGGAACGUUGAAGACGACGACGUUGAUAGGCCGGGUGUGUAAGCGCAGCGAUGCGUUGAGCUAACCGGUACUAAUGAACCGUGAGGCUUAACCUU